CAUUGUUUUCAGAAAGACAGAUUAAUGAUUAAAACGAGAUGAAAAUAAUAUUUUCUUUAUUUGAUCCCUUCAGAUGCAUCCUAACGGUGAGUCACUGACACA
Long non-coding RNA from Melanotaenia boesemani (Boeseman's rainbowfish), 102 nucleotides. RefSeq lists it as uncharacterized. The record is from RefSeq and is a predicted model, not a curated record. Lineage: Eukaryota; Metazoa; Chordata; Actinopteri; Atheriniformes; Melanotaeniidae. The transcript has 4 exons.